This 270-nucleotide ribosomal RNA is filed under the name uncultured bacterium. RNAcentral describes it as "partial 16S ribosomal RNA". It matches the Rfam family "Bacterial small subunit ribosomal RNA", at positions 32 to 310 of the family's 1533-position model. The record is from RNAcentral.
AAUCAACGCUGGCGGCGUGCCUAACACAUGCAAGUCGAACGAGAAAGUGGUAGCAAUACCAUGAGUAAAGUGGCGCACGGGUGAGUAACACGUGACUAACCUACUCUGGAGUGGGGGAUAACUGAGGGAAACCUUAGCUAAUACCGCAUAACACCUACGGGUCAAAGGAGCAAUUCGCUUUGGGAGGGGGUCGCGGCCGAUUAGUUAGUUGGCGGGGUAAUGGCCCACCAAGACGAUGAUCGGUAUCCGGCCUGAGAGGGCGCACGGACA